UGAAACAUUUUUUUUCUAAACACCACUUAAAGUGAAACCGAGAGUAACAUUUUGAAAGGGAUGGAAUAUUUACAAAGGGAUUUCUGACAUCUAUGUUCAACACAUUUUUUAAAACUUCUCAAACACGGGUGAAAGCGAAAAAGAAAAAGCUCCCCCAUGAAGAUAAACCACCGCCCCCUUCUUUCUCCUCCGGCCUGGUUAUCGCUGUCACUGGUGCCGAAGUUAUUUGUUCUUCUUGUUUCUAUUUCCUUUGCUCUCCUCUCUCCUUCCUCUCUUAUUUGAUAUGCUCGGCACCCUGGAGGAGGUUUCUCAGAUCUGUUUUUCCGAUCCGGUAACUUUGAAUCUGGUGUGAUGGCGAGACGAAAGGGGUGAAGGCAGUAGAGUAGGGUCCGCUUUUAGGGUAUCUAGGGGUUGUAUAUGUGAUAUUUUGCUCCUCUGUAGAAAUCCAAUCCCUUUAAGGAGGUAGCGUGUGGGGACCAGACGAGUCUCCUCCUAGUCGGAUCUAGAAAAGGGCUUUGGUUCUUCUCAAUCUAAGGGUCCGUUGUUGGAGUGGGCUUUGGCUAAGGGCAGAUCCUUGUCUCGGCGAGUUGACUACGGUGAAGCUCUUAGUCGAAGCCAAGGUCAUGUUCAUCGGGAUUUUCUCGGUGACACACGUGCGGAGAGGCUUUUGGUUUUCGUGUGUUAACAAAUUUCUUCCGGCUAAGACGUGUGCAUCAAGGUUUGCAGUGCCAUGUAGGGUCGUCUAUGGCUCCGGCGGUGGUGUGUCUAGCGUUUUCUCUUCUUUAGAAAGUUGGUCUCAUGGCUUCUUCGCGUCGUAGCUUUCUCGGGAGAUAGUGAUGGUGUUUCUUUGGGACGUUUUAUCAGUCUACGGUCUUCUCUGUUGUGGUGGGUCUCCGUUGCUAAACGGAUUUUUGCUUCGGUGGAGCAAUAUAGAGCCGUCCUUUAGUUCUUAAAGGCGGAACGCAAGAAAGAGAUAGCGGAUCUGGUGUGGUCUACCUGAGUCGUUUUUUUUCUCUUGGUGGUGGCAUGUUUCAAUUUCAUGGCCUUCCAGUUGCUAAAAGGCGGUAAAUCUGGGUCCGUAUUUGGCAGGCUGUGCUUUGUCUCUUGUUGUGCAGGUAAUUGAUUCUCGAUCGAUGUGGCGGCUUCCUCCGCUACCCCGAUUUUAUUUUGGUUCUUAGAGAAAUGCUCUUCUCGUCUUGUCUUUUUACAUUUUAGAUACUUAUUCUUUUGGAUUACUGCAAUUUGGUUCACUAUUUUCUAAUUAUACAAUAUCUAAUCAUUCUCACACUAACCAUCAUCAUUUGAAGUUUGAUAAUCUAUUUUAAUCUAUUUUAUUGUUCAAAAAAUAACAAAACGAAUAAAGAAAUAAGUAAAAAAUAGAAAUAUAUUUUAAAUAUUUAAUUUAUGCACAGCUAAAAAUAACAUAAAUUUUUGCUAUUUUAUUAUUUUUUAAUAUUUUCUAUUAUUUCAUUUACAACUAUACAUUUAUCUUAAUAUUAACCAAACUAAAGGAGAACACAUAAUCUAAACACAAAACCUCCAUGAUCACAGAGAAAAAAAUGCCAAAGUAACACUAACUCAAUAAAGGUCCAGAGCACAAAGGCGAUCAAGAACGAAAACUAACUUACCCCACUUUAUUAUAGAUUGUCUUGGCCAGAACAAUAAAAAAUCAGUAAAAUGUAGAAAGAUAAUCUUGAGAUAAAGAAAUCCCUCAAACACAAAUGAGCGUGAUCAAUGACCAAUGUAAAGAACCAAAAAAGCAGGAUAGAGGAAGAAUAAUCAACAGAAGGCCAAAAUCACCACGAAGCAGGAAGAGACAUACAUAAGGAAUGAUAAGCACAACCAACAGAUAAGAGGUAAGAAACACUCCACAAACUAAACAAGCACAAACAAGACGCCUAUGCCGGUGAAGAACCACAAAGCUCUGGAUAGAAGGGACCAAAGCUCCAAGAGACUAAUACCGCACACUUAUACUAAGGGAAGCAAGAGAAGAAGAGAACAACAUGAGUGAGGGAGAACGGAAGCCAACCUCCGAGAAACAUGAGCCUAGACUUGAGACCAGAAACAAUCUUCCAAAUCUACAGAGCAUACUCGGAGGAGAACACUAUCCAAACCUAGAGUGGCAAAGAUAGCGAAAGGGAGAGUCACAGAAAUGCAAGCAGCGGUGAAAGCUGCAACGGAUGAGGGGACAUAGAUGGAAGGGUAGACAAAACUAAAUCAUCAAAUCGUAGAGCCGUCCUCGAGCUAUAGAAUUCAUAUCACCAAAACCCAUAUCUUGAAAACCAAGACAAGAAGGGAGUAUCGAUGGUAAGCCAACGACAAGAAAACCAACUUCAAAGACGACUAAACUCUGACCCAACCCAAAGAGAUGCAGUUCCUAACAUCAGCUGAAAUCUAAGGAAGAAGAGGAGCAUCCAAUAUCGAAUGGAGCAGCCUAAAAUGACGCGAGAAACAACCGCACAACUGGGAACUCCUAAACCCGAUCUACAACAAAUACAAGAAAUCUCAAGGUGAAGAAGGCGAUAAAGAAAAAGAGGAGGAGGUGAGUCUUUUUCGGUGAUGAUGAGAAACACUGCAUACCAGAAAGGUAAACAAAAUACAUAGAUGUUGAAGGUUCAAUGUCAAAAUAUGGGAAAAAGGCAAAAACAUCUUGAAAGUUAUAAUGUUCAAAAAUAUAAAAAUAAAUAAAAGACAAUUUUGACGCUGAAACCGUUAAUCUUAGAAUCAACAAAUGCAUAAAUGCAAAGUUAUUGAAAUUCAAUAUAGUUUUUACAAUAGAGACUCACUUCACUACUAACAAAUAAUAUACAGGCAAACCAAAUUAUUGAAAAAACAAAGAUAAAAUAUAUUAACAUAUUACUAUUACUACUACAUAACACAAUAAAAACACCAAAUACCAGUUCUUAACAAAUAAAAGUGAUCACAUAAUUACAUUAUCCAAAAAAUCAUACUUUUAACAACAAUAAAAUAAUAUUGUGCGCGAAGCGCAGACACCCCCUUAGUAUGGUAUAAAUAUAACAUUUAAACUAAAAACAAAAAUUUAUGUUCAACACGUUUAGAUACGGCUUGACCUUUUGAAGAUACGCGUCCACGAGGGUGAAAGAUUUUAUAAUGUUCUUAAGGGCAAUUCUUUCGGAUAACACUAAAAUAGUUUUUUUACCAAAAAAUCACAACAAAGAAAAUGACCAAAAAAGUUUUAUUAAAGAGCCAAAAGAUACUUGUACCCUUAUUUUAUAGAUAUAUAAAAUAGUUGUAAAUAAAAUAAAUAAAUAUAAAAAAUUAUUUAAAUAAAUAAAAAUUUAUAUUUUUAUAUUUUUCGAAUUAUACAUUAUUGAAUUCAAAAUUUUAUAAAAAAAUCAAAAAAUAAUUUUUAAAGUUUUGUAAGAAAUUUUGUUUUGAUGAAAUUAAUAAAAUUCUUUUUAAACUAUUUUAAAAUUUUAUUUUAAAUUUUAAGCAUUUACAUUUUUUAAAACAAAAUUCUAAAGCACAUCCCCAAAGUUCAACCCUCAAAUCUAAACCUUAAGUAUAAAUUAGCUAAACAUAAAGGUAUAAAUGUUUAUUUACCUGUUUGAACAAACAUUUUGGUCAUUUAACCAUUAGGGGCUAUACUUGUAAUAAAAAAAAUUAGGGUUUAGAAAUAUCUCUAUUCUUAUUCAAUUUAUGGCUUGAUUGGCAGAGCAUUAAGAUAAACAUUAUGCUGUUUAUUGUCCAAUCAAUAAUUUUUUGAAAAGCAUUCAGAAUAGCAUUUAGAUGAUGCAAAUGCUCUCCAAAUACUUUCUACCAAAUUUGGGGUACCCAGAUCCGGAUCCGUCGGAUCUGUGAAUUUAAUAUCCGGAUCCGGAUUCGUGGUUUCCGGAUAUAUGGAUUUCGGAUAUCCGUCCCGAUAUUCUAUUACCCGCAGAUAUCCGGAUCCAGAUCAAAUAUUUAUAAAUAUAUUUAUAUAUCUCUAUAAUAUUGUAAAAACUAAAAUAUAAUAUUAUAAGAUUAGUGCAUGUAUAAAUAUUAAUAUAUUAAAUAUAAUAUUAAUAAAAUUUAAAAAUUUAAUGUGUUUUAAAAAUACGGAUCUGGAUCCGGAUAUUUGAACCUAAAAAUUAAAAUAUCCGGAUUUGGAUUGGAAGGAUUCCAGAUUUUACUAUCCGGAUUCGGAUCCGGGCACCCCGGAUAUCCUAUUUUCGGAGCAGAUCCAGAGCAGAUCUCAGAUCGAAUUCGGAUCUCGGAUAAUAAGUUCCAGGCCUAUUUGUCUUUAUAUACGUUUGUACAUUCACUCAAUCAAUCAAGGAAAUAUACAGGCUUUCGCUCAGAGUAUUCGAGAUGAAUGCUAGUUUACUUUUUUGUUGAAGACAACGGAUAUUACUCAACUCUGCCUUGAAUUUGGAUGUCUGAUUGACAAUGCCUGAAAUUUAAUUUAAAAGGCUUUACAAAUAAACAGUAAAACACAACUCUUGUAUCUCUGUUAACUUGUAAUGUUACUGUAGUAAAAUCAAUACAACUAAUUAGCUAGCGAUGGCAACAAAGUAGUCAUUUUAAAUGAUACUCCUAAUAUUUGAUAGUAACAACUUAUUACAAAGCAUGUUACAAUAACAUUUGUUCUUGUCUCAAAGUUUUUCGUUUUUGUAGGCUGAUGACUCUUUGAAAAGUAUUGAUCUUUCUCUAACCGUAACUUCUGCAUUCUUGAGGCACCUUUGGAUAUCGCUUUCUGUCCAAGCAAUAGUCGUAAUCCAGGUAAACCUUCCUUGCAUUCAUAUACAGUUUCCUCUCUUUAGAGCUUAGCUCCCAAUUCUCUUUACGGUUCCACCAGUAUUCAAGACUAAAGCAUUUAUCUAUGCUCAUAAACUCAGUCGCACACCCAUCGAUCUUUGAUGCCUGGAACUUAGCAGUGCAAGACAUCUCCAUAGGGUCAACCAUUGUUCCGUUUUCCACACUGCCAUGCAUGAACAUCGUCUGCACCGAUGGGUAGUAAAUGUCUGGAUUCUUCUUGUACACCCGG
RNAcentral lists this long non-coding RNA (4987 nucleotides) under Brassica rapa (field mustard). Its description in RNAcentral is "long non-coding RNA (BRAP_LNC000369)". Lineage: Eukaryota; Viridiplantae; Streptophyta; Magnoliopsida; Brassicales; Brassicaceae. The record is from RNAcentral.